AUGACCCAGAGGAGCUGUGACCUUGGGUUUCCAAGAAGCCUUAAUAAGGCUGGGCUGGCUAUCCCUGCUCUGAUGUGGAAGACAUCCUUAGUAUUGCUUCUCAGCAGAAGUGCUACUGGGAAGCCAGGGGCAGCAAGCACAGGCCUUGUCCACCCGCUUGGAGAGCCUGCUUAGCCUCAGACCCAGAAGGAAUGAGCCGCGGCAUUCUUCAGGGCCGUCUGGCUUUCUGAUGGUGCCAUCUUGUGGUCAGCAUGAUGAGGCUCUCAACGCGUCUGCAGUGAACCUUCCUGCCUCACACCUACUUCGGCCGUGGAUCCAAACAUCUGCUGUGUCUUUCUCCACACGUGCUCCUAACCCUUAUCCAUAAAGACUCAAGGACCCCGGUCCUCAUACACAAGGC
This 400-nucleotide long non-coding RNA is filed under the name Rattus norvegicus (Norway rat). Its description in RNAcentral is "long non-coding RNA NONRATT013499". Lineage: Eukaryota; Metazoa; Chordata; Mammalia; Rodentia; Muridae. The record is from RNAcentral.